RNAcentral lists this ribosomal RNA (320 nucleotides) under uncultured bacterium. Its description in RNAcentral is "bacterial SSU rRNA". It matches the Rfam family "Bacterial small subunit ribosomal RNA", at positions 470 to 789 of the family's 1533-position model. The record is from RNAcentral.
UGACGGUACCUGACUAAGAAGCCCCGGCUAACUACGUGCCAGCAGCCGCGGUAAUACGUAGGGGGCAAGCGUUAUCCGGAUUUACUGGGUGUAAAGGGAGCGUAGACGGCUUUGCAAGUCUGAAGUGAAAGCCCGGGGCUCAACCCCGGAACUGCUUUGGAAACUGCAUAGCUAGAGUGCAGGAGAGGUAAGUGGAAUUCCUAGUGUAGCGGUGAAAUGCGUAGAUAUUAGGAGGAACACCAGUGGCGAAGGCGGCUUACUGGACUGUAACUGACGUUGAGGCUCGAAGGCGUGGGGAGCAAACAGGAUUAGAUACCCUG